This 433-nucleotide ribosomal RNA is filed under the name uncultured bacterium. Its description in RNAcentral is "partial 16S ribosomal RNA". It matches the Rfam family "Bacterial small subunit ribosomal RNA", at positions 29 to 507 of the family's 1533-position model. The record is from RNAcentral.
AACGAACGCUGGCGGCAUGCCUAACACAUGCAAGUCGAACGAGACCUUCGGGUCUAGUGGCGCACGGGUGCGUAACGCGUGGGAACCUGCCCUUAGGUUCGGAAUAACUCCCCGAAAGGGGUGCUAAUACCGGAUAAUGUCUUCGGACCAAAGAUUUAUCGCCUUUGGAUGGGCCCGCGUUGGAUUAGCUAGUUGGUAGGGUAAAAGCCUACCAAGGCGACGAUCCAUAGCUGGUCUGAGAGGAUGAUCAGCCACACUGGGACUGAGACACGGCCCAGACCCCGAGGGAGGAGAGCGGGGGAAAAUAUGAGAAAAGGGGGAAGGCCUUAACCAAGCAGCGCCGGGGAAGAAGGAAGGCCUUUAGGGUAGAAAAUUUUUUUUCCCCGGAAGGAUAAUGACGGUACGGGGAAAAUAAGCCCCGGCUAACUCCGUG